AAUGUUCAUGGCUAAUAAGUUUAUUAAUUUAUUAAAUUAUUUUUAAAAAAUAUUUUGAUGUUAAAUAAUUGAUAAAAUGGUUUUAGUUUAAAAUUAUAACUCUUAUUCCCCUUGUUUCACUCUAACCAUCCAAAUACUAUUUAUCUUACUCCUACGAACAACUCAAUUUUCAUCCAAACGCAAAAUUAGUCUUAUUCCUGCUUAUAUCUGAACUUGUACCUAUUCUUAAAACAAGCCGUUCUUAUUUAUAUCCGAACCAAAUGCAGCAUUGAAAACUCAAUGUACUUUGACUAACUGUUUCUAGCGCAAGUAAUAAAGGACUUAAUGUACUUUAGAUAUCUAGUUGAUUCCUACUUAAUUCACAUUUUCAGCUAAGUUUAUUUUUUUAAACGAAGAAAGUAACAUGUUACUUGUCUCUCAAAAAAAAAAAGAAAAAAAAAUGAAGACUCAAU
Molecule: long non-coding RNA, 452 nt
Filed under: Ananas comosus (pineapple)
Lineage: Eukaryota; Viridiplantae; Streptophyta; Magnoliopsida; Poales; Bromeliaceae
Description: long non-coding RNA (ACOM_LNC007504)
Source: RNAcentral